AAACCAGCACCUCAAGUGGUCAGGAUGAUUAUUGGGCCUAAAGCAUCCGUAGCCUGUUCUGUAAGUUUUCGGUUAAAUCUGUAUGCUCAACAUACAGGCCGCCGGGAAUACUGCAGGACUAGGGAGUGGGAGAGGUAGACGGUACUCGGGAGGAAGUGGUAAAAUGCUUUGAUCUCUCGAUGACCACCUGUGGCGAAGGCGGUCUACCAGAACACGUCCGACGGUGAGGGAUGAAAGCUGGGGGAGCAAACCGGAUUAGAAACCCCGGUAGUCC
Molecule: ribosomal RNA, 274 nt
Filed under: uncultured bacterium
Lineage: Bacteria
Description: partial 16S ribosomal RNA
Rfam family: Archaeal small subunit ribosomal RNA
Source: RNAcentral